GCCUGCGGACAUACCAGUCUGAAAGUGCCUGAUCUCGUCAGAUUUCAGAAGCCAUCCAGACUCGGGCCUGAUUAAAAUGUGCUGCGACGGCUUGUGGGGUUUGCAGUGA
This is a non-coding RNA of Pelobates cultripes (western spadefoot toad), 109 nucleotides long. Lineage: Eukaryota; Metazoa; Chordata; Amphibia; Anura; Pelobatidae. The record is from the annotation of a GenBank genome assembly.